CUGAGGUGCCCAGAGGCUCAAGAAAGCACAUCAAGAGGUUAAUGGACUCUUGUUUUGUGGACAUUUCCUUCCUGUUUAUGCUUUCUUUUCUUUAUUGACAUCAGUCACACAGCUCCUGUUUCUUGUCAAUAUUCAGUUGUCCAUAGAAGCCCCCACUUUUCCUGCCUCCCUUGGAACACUGAUUCUCAGUUAUCUUGAACCCGUCCUUCUGGAACUGCAAUCCCUAAGACCCCGGGGAGAGUCCUUCUACUUCUGCAGUUGCCGAGUUUGGAUUGAUGGAAAAGGAAAGGGGAUGUACCCAAGGGGAGAGGAAGAAAAGGAGAGGUAAAAAGCAGUAAAGAAGGGCGAUGGUUGAAGUUGAGAAAAUUUAAGACCCAAUGGACAUGAACACCAGGGUUCUGACUCUGGGUUCCUUACUCCAUUCCUCAUAAUACGUCGAGAACUUAGAAGAGAAGACAAGUCUUGAGAUGAGGAAACUGAGAGCAGAGAAGAGAGCAAAGUAUGUGAGCACACUCCAUUUGUCAUCUCGUGGCGUGGCGGGGAAGAAGAGUGUCUAGAUUUCUCUAAUUUGAGAAGGCAGAUCCGAUCGCCUUAGCUGUCCAGUGCUCUUCCCCACUGCCUGCAAGGAGCAAGAGAAAUGGCCUGUUGGCUGGUGGACUCUUCAUUUCCUGGGCACACCUUGUGAUCUUUGAAAUGGACUUCUCUCCAUGGAAGUCCCCACCUCACCUGUCACUGAUGAUACUGCCCCUGCUUUCAGGAAAUGCAGAAUUCCUGUUUUUAGUGGGCAACUUAUUCCAUGUGAGCUUCAUGGAGCUAUACCAUGGUCAUUGUCUGCAAGAGCCCUGGAAGCCUGAUACAGCCCUUUGAUCUUAAACUUCGAAGUCUCCA
Long non-coding RNA from Marmota monax (woodchuck), 888 nucleotides. RefSeq lists it as uncharacterized. NCBI's taxonomy places the organism in Eukaryota, Metazoa, Chordata, Mammalia, Rodentia, Sciuridae. The transcript has 5 exons. The record is from RefSeq and is a predicted model, not a curated record.